This 72-nucleotide transfer RNA is filed under the name Nanobdellota archaeon. RNAcentral's name for it is "tRNA-Thr". It matches the Rfam family "tRNA". From Rfam's summary of the family: Transfer RNA (tRNA) molecules are approximately 80 nucleotides in length. Their secondary structure includes four short double-helical elements and three loops (D, anti-codon, and T loops). Lineage: Archaea; Nanobdellati; Nanobdellota. The record is from RNAcentral.
GCCUCAGUAGCAGACCGGUAAUGCAUUUGCUUCGUAAGCAAAAGAUAGGGGGUUCGAUUCCCUCUUGAGGCU